Molecule: long non-coding RNA, 212 nt
Filed under: Elaeis guineensis (African oil palm)
Lineage: Eukaryota; Viridiplantae; Streptophyta; Magnoliopsida; Arecales; Arecaceae
Description: long non-coding RNA (EGUI_LNC047937)
Source: RNAcentral
UCUUCACUCUCUAAAUCACCUCCUACUCUUUUCACUCUCUAAACCUCCUACCUCUUCCUAAGCCUUAUCUUAAAAUCAACAGACUUAUCUUAAUAAAAGAACUGUCCUAACAAGACAAGGAGAGAGAGGGAUUGAUUUUGUCUGAGAAUUUUAGUGCCUUGGACUCUUGGAACGAGUUCUAUUUAUAGGAGCAGAAGGGGCACAGAAAAUGG